AACGAACGCUGGCGGCGUGGAUAAGACAUGCAAGUCGAACGGGGCAAUGUUUGUAGUAAUAUGAAUGUUGUUCAGUGGCGAACGGGUGCGUAACACGUGGAUACAUUCCGGGAAGCGGGGGAUAGCCCAGGGAAACUUGGAUUAAUACCGCAUGUGGUCGAAAGACUAAAGACGGGGAUCGAAAGACCUGUCACUUCCCGAUUGGUCCGCGGCCUAUCAGCUAGUUGGCGGGGUAAAAGCCCACCAAGGCGACGACGGGUAGCUGGUCUUAGAGGACGACCAGCCACACUGGAACUGAGACACGGUCCAGACACCUACGGGUGGCAGCAGUCGAGAAUCUUUCACAAUGGGGGCAACCCUGAUGGAGCGACGCCGCGUGGAGGAUAAGGUCUUCGGAUUGUAAACUCCUGUCAUGCGCGAACAAGGCUACUUGGAUAAUACCUGGGUAGAUUGAAUG
This 457-nucleotide ribosomal RNA is filed under the name uncultured bacterium. RNAcentral describes it as "bacterial SSU rRNA". It matches the Rfam family "Bacterial small subunit ribosomal RNA", at positions 29 to 477 of the family's 1533-position model. The record is from RNAcentral.